Molecule: long non-coding RNA, 877 nt
Organism: Daphnia pulex (common water flea)
Lineage: Eukaryota; Metazoa; Arthropoda; Branchiopoda; Diplostraca; Daphniidae
Exons: 3
Source: RefSeq, a predicted model, not a curated record
AAUAUGCCACAUACACAUUUGUGCAAGUUAAAAUGACUGGUCUCAUUUUCUAGAACUGAUCGGGGAGGAGAAAAUGCAGCAGCUGAUUACAUGUUAAAUGUACGGGGUGUAAAUAGAUUCAGUUUUUACGCUGGCUCUUCAUGCGGAAUCAAAGAAUUUGACGUCAGUGGAGAGACACGAAUCAACGUGGUGUCCGACCGUUACUGAACACGUUUAAAGACAUGGAGAAUGCGGAUGUUAUCCCAAGUGACUCCGAACUAGAUCUGUUGAUUUUACAUCAGUUGGCAACUAAUCUAUUCCAGAGGACUCUAGAAACAUACGUAGACUCUUGGAACAACCAUCCUGUACGGACGGAAGGAAAAAAAACUCCAAAUCAGCUUUAUGUUUCCGGCUUGGUACCACUUAAGCAACGUCAAGAAGAAGGACAAUUUCUCCGACCACGGGUUGAACUUCUCCAGGAUGAUGUUCUCCAUCUUCCGGAUAAUUUCAAUGACAUCUAGUAUUUGGAAUCGAUCGUCGGGCAAUUCCGGCAAGCACGAGAAGUCCCCAAAUUCACUAAUCCCUUGAACGCUGAAGAAUUCGUCGAACUUCAUCAAAUUGUUAAUCCACAAUCAGUUGAAUUAGACAAUUUAAGUGAGAAAUUUACCCUUGCCAAAAGAUUUGCAAUUUUCGCAUUAAGUAACAGGGAUGAGAUUGCAUUGUAAAAUAAACGUCAUUACUGCUACUCUUCUGAAAUGAGCUGUAAAGACAUGAUGAGCUAAAGAGUAGUAGCGGUCGCCUUUAACUUGCAGCAAGUCAGUAACAUGUGUUGCUGUUUCAUAAACGAUUUCCCUAAUCCAUUUAGCCUUUCAGCUUUUCCCUGAAAACAAUCGGCGUA